RNAcentral lists this ribosomal RNA (641 nucleotides) under uncultured bacterium. RNAcentral's name for it is "bacterial SSU rRNA". It matches the Rfam family "Bacterial small subunit ribosomal RNA", at positions 336 to 968 of the family's 1533-position model. The record is from RNAcentral.
CUCCUACGGGAGGCAGCAGUGAGGAAUAUUGGUCAAUGGGCGAGAACUGAACCAGCCAAGUAGCGUGCAGGAUGACGGCCCUAUGGGUUGGUAAACUGGCUUUUAUAAGGGAAUAAAGAUGAGCCUCGUGAGGAUUUUUGCAUGUACCUUAUGAAUAAGGACCGGCUAAUUCCGUGCCAGCAGCCGCGGUAAUACGGAAGGUCCGGGCGUUAUCCGGAUUUAUUGGGUUUAAAGGGAGCGUAGGCCGGAGAUUAAGCGUGUUGUGAAAUGUAGAUGCUCAACAUCUGCACUGCAGCGCGAACUGGUUUCCUUGAGUACGCACAAAGUGGGCGGAAUUCGUGGUGUAGCGGUGAAAUGAAUAGAUAUCACGAAGAACUCCGAUUUCCAAUGCAGCUCACUGGAGCGCAACUGCACGGUGAAGCUCGAAAGUGCGGGUAUCGAACAGGAUUAGAUACCCUAGAUAGUCCCGCACGGUAAACGAUGGGAUGCCCGCUGUUUGUCUUAAUAAGUCAGCGGGCAAGCGAAAGCAUUAACCAACCCACCUGGGGAGUACACCGGCAAACGUGAAACUCAAAAGGAAUUGUCCGGGGGCCCGCACAAACGGAGGAACAUGUGGUUUAAUUCUAUUAUUACGCGAGGAA